This 384-nucleotide ribosomal RNA is filed under the name uncultured bacterium. RNAcentral describes it as "bacterial SSU rRNA". It matches the Rfam family "Bacterial small subunit ribosomal RNA", at positions 30 to 416 of the family's 1533-position model. The record is from RNAcentral.
AUUGAACGCUGGCGGCAUGCCUUACACAUGCAAGUCGAACGGCAGCGCGGGGCAACCUGGCGGCGAGUGGCGAACGGGUGAGUAACAUAUCGGAACAUACCCUAGAGUGGGGAUAACGUAGCGAAAGUUACGCUAAUACCGCAUACGCACUAAGGUGGAAAGUGGGGGAUUCGCAAGAACCUCAUGCUCAUGGAGUGGCCGAUAUCUGAUUAGCUAGUUGGUGAGGUAAAGGCUCACCAAGGCGACGAUCAGUAGCUGGUUUGAGAGAACGACCAGCCACACUGGAACUGAGACACGGUCCAGACUCCUACGGGAGGCAGCAGUGGGGAAUUUUGGACAAUGGGGGCAACCUGAUCCAGCAAUGCCGCGUGAGUGAAGAAGGCC